UACUAUCGAAGGAAAGCCUUAAUUCAUAGUA
This is a non-coding RNA of Flavobacteriia bacterium 40-80, 31 nucleotides long. Lineage: Bacteria; Pseudomonadati; Bacteroidota; Flavobacteriia. The record is from Rfam.